Molecule: ribosomal RNA, 253 nt
Filed under: uncultured archaeon
Lineage: Archaea
Description: partial 16S ribosomal RNA
Rfam family: Archaeal small subunit ribosomal RNA
Source: RNAcentral
UACCUGCAGCCCAAGUGGUGGCCGCUAUUAUUGGGCCUAAAACGUCCGUAGCCGGUUCUAUAAAUGCCUGGGUAAAUCGUACGGCUUAACCGUACGAAUUCCGGGUAGACUGUUCAACUUGGGACCGGGAGAGGCUAGAGGUACUCCUGGGGUAGAGGUGAAAUUCUGUAAUCCUAGGGGGACCACCAGUGGCGAAGGCGUCUAGCUAGAACGGGUCUGACGGUGAGGGACGAAGCCCUGGGGAGCAAACGGG